Molecule: non-coding RNA, 29 nt
Filed under: Rattus norvegicus (Norway rat)
Lineage: Eukaryota; Metazoa; Chordata; Mammalia; Rodentia; Muridae
Source: RNAcentral
UCCCAAAUGACCUCAGUGCACAGGGAAAG